Molecule: long non-coding RNA, 635 nt
Filed under: Ananas comosus (pineapple)
Lineage: Eukaryota; Viridiplantae; Streptophyta; Magnoliopsida; Poales; Bromeliaceae
Description: long non-coding RNA (ACOM_LNC010501)
Source: RNAcentral
ACUCAAAAUAAAAGACUAGCUUUAAAUUUUUCUCAACAAAAAUGGAUGAGGCUCACUUGUCACACUACAACAGAAUUAGGUUAUAGGGACACAUGUUUGGGACACUUUUGAGUAAGUGUCUCAUUUAUCCUAAAACUUAAAAAAACAUCUAGUAAUGCCUAAAUAUAAAGCCCAAUCCAACCAAAAAUAAAAGAUUACUCUACUCAACCCACCACACCCAGUCCAUUUGGCCCGAUUAUAAACAGAAAAGAAAAAAAAAAGAAAAAUCAAUUACCAUCUUUUCUUCUCUCUUCACUCAAUCCACUAAAAUUCUAGACGAAGAGCCUUUCCUGUCGUCCUCCUCCGCCAGCGCAACCAACGAGAUAGAGUUUCGGCGGUUGCUAAAUGCUUAAAUAAGUGUUGGUAAAUUAGCAGCACUCUUUUAGGUUAUAGCGACACUCUUUAACUGUCACUAUAUACCUAGCGACCCCAUAUAUAGCAACACUUUUUAAAAGUGUCGGUAAUUUUAGCUAGUAGCACUUUUUUAACAUGUACCUACAUUUGAAAGUGUCGCUAUAGACCGUUUUUGUUGUAGUGUCAGUAAACCACGUUCAUGUGGGCCAGUUAAAAUUUUUUUUGAAGUAAAUUUUUCGUUA